This 198-nucleotide ribosomal RNA is filed under the name Ascelichthys rhodorus. Its description in RNAcentral is "partial 12S ribosomal RNA". It matches the Rfam family "Bacterial small subunit ribosomal RNA", at positions 1302 to 1533 of the family's 1533-position model. Lineage: Eukaryota; Metazoa; Chordata; Actinopteri; Perciformes; Cottidae. The record is from RNAcentral.
GGGCUGAAACGCCCAUCUGAAGGAGGAUUUAGCAGUAAGCAGGAAAUAGAGCGUCCCGCUGAAACUGGCCCUGAAGCGCGCACACACCGCCCGUCACUCUCCCCAAAAACACCCGCCAUUUAAGUAAAACCUAAAAAUCAAAAAGGGGAGGCAAGUCGUAACAUGGUAAGUGUACCGGAAGGUGCACUUGGUAAAAUC